AGAGUUUGAUCAUGGCUCAGGACGAACGCUGGCGGCGUGCCUAACACAUGCAAGUCGAACGGAAAUACCUGUAGCAAUAUGGGUAUUUUAGUGGCGGACGGGUGAGUAACGCGUGAGCAACCUGCCCUUCGGAGGGGGACAACAGCUGGAAACGGCUGCUAAUACCGCAUAACGUAUAUUAACGGCAUCGUUGGUAUACCAAAGAUUUAUCGCCGAAGGAUGGGCUCGCGUCUGAUUAGCUAGUUGGUGAGGUAAUGGCUCACCAAGGCUGCGAUCAGUAGCCGGACUGAGAGGUUGAACGGCCACAUUGGGACUGAGAUACGGCCCAGACUCCUACGGGAGGCAGCAGUGGGGAAUAUUGGGCAAUGGGGGCAACCCUGACCCAGCAACGCCGCGUGAAGGAAGAAGGCUUUCGGGUUGUAAACUUCUUUGACCAGGGACGAAAUAAAUGACGGUACCUGGAAAACAAGCCACGGCUAACUACGUGCCAGCAGCCGCGGUAAUACGUAGGUGGCAAGCGUUGUCCGGAUUUACUGGGUGUAAAGGGCGCGUAGGCGGGAGUGCAAGUCAGAUGUGAAAUCUGGGGGCUUAACCCUCAAACUGCAUUUGAAACUGUAUUUCUUGAGUAUCGGAGAGGCAGGCGGAAUUCCUAGUGUAGCGGUGAAAUGCGUAGAUAUUAGGAGGAACACCAGUGGCGAAAGCGGCCUGCUGGACGACAACUGACGCUGAGGCGCGAAAGCGUGGGGAGCAAACAGGAUUAGAUACCCUGAUAGUCCACGCUGUAAACGAUGAAUACUAGGUGUGGGGGGACUAACCCCCUCCGUGCCGGAGUUAACACAAUAAGUAUUCCACCUGGGGAGUACGGCCGCAAGGUUGAAACUCAAAUGAAUUGACG
RNAcentral lists this ribosomal RNA (895 nucleotides) under bacterium enrichment culture clone H12_1_5. RNAcentral describes it as "bacterial SSU rRNA". It matches the Rfam family "Bacterial small subunit ribosomal RNA", at positions 8 to 915 of the family's 1533-position model. The record is from RNAcentral.